CUACGGGGUGCAGCAGCUAAGAAUCUUCCGCAAUGGGCGAAAGCCUGACGGAGCGACGCCGCGUGGGUGAAGAAGGCCGAGAGGUUGUAAAGCCCUUUUCUGUCUGAGGAAUGAGCCUGGGAGGGAAUGCCCGGGUGAUGACGGUAAGACAGGAAUAAGCCCCGGCUAAUUACGUGCCAGCAGCCGCGGUAACACGUAUGGGGCGAGCGUUGUUCGGAAUCAUUGGGCGUAAAGGGCGCGUAGGCGGAGAUGCAAGUCUGGUGUGAAAUACCGCAGCUUAACUGCGGGACCGCGCUGGAAACUGCAUAUCUUGAGUUCCGGAGGGGGAGUUGGAAUUCCUGGUGUAGGGGUGAAAUCUGUUGAUAUCAGGAAGAACACCGGUGGCGAAGGCGAACUCCUGGACGGAAACUGACGCUGAGGCGCGAAAGCGUGGGGAGCGAACAGGAUUAGAUACCCGCGUAGUC
Molecule: ribosomal RNA, 464 nt
Filed under: uncultured bacterium
Lineage: Bacteria
Description: partial 16S ribosomal RNA
Rfam family: Bacterial small subunit ribosomal RNA
Source: RNAcentral